UAUUGAAUCAAAGCAAAUAUUAACAUUAAUAAAAUGUUUUGAAAGAUAAUUGUUUUGACUUUUGACUAGUCGUAAGUAGCAAUUUACUAGAGAUGAGGAAUUGUAUAAGAUUAAGGAUGUAUUUCACUAUGAGAUUUUAGAGUUAGCUUUGAAGAGUGUCAAAUUGGAAUAUCAUGUUGGUGGAAAAUUAUUAUGCUUUGAAGGUUGGAAUAAGCAUUGGAAAGCCGAUGAUGUUGAGAUAUACAUUUACAAUGGUCUCGUAAUCAGGUGCUAAAUAUUGCAAGGACAUGCGUUGUGUAAUUAUCAUUGAUUUCACAAUAACCCAUGGGGUAAAUGUGGUAAUUUGCAAAAGUAGUAAGGGAGUGGAAUUUGGUAAUUGUGGAUACAUUGCUGUCAAUGUUGAAAUAAUGCUAACUUUGGUUGGUGCUGCAAAAAAAAAGGUCAGCCAAAUAUGUGUAGAACGAAGCCGCAAUAUCUACUACAAGAUUGCUACUCUAUAGAUGUUGAAUGGGGUUCCCAACCACUUAUAAAAGUGGAUCAAGAUCAAGAAAAGGAGAACAUGAAGUUUAAGGUUUGUGUGUGUGGAUAUUCCUUCAUUUGAAUGUGGCUUCCUAGAUGUUGAGUUCAUGUUUUUGUUUUCUUACAUCAUUAGGUAGCAACUGAUUGUUUUGGUAGCUUGUUUGCUCAUAUAUAUCAAAAUUCUGAUAGAAUUGGAAACACAUGUUUGUUGUUAUGGUAUUAGCAUAUGUUACUCAUUAUACACACAAGUACAUAAGUUUAUUGUGACAAAAGUGCUGAUAUUAUGUGAAGGUUAUGUAGAGAAUCCGUGGAGGGUUGGUGACGUUAAUGACUGUUGUGGAUGUGUUAAAUCUUUGGUAAUGUUUCUUUCCAGCUUUAAUUACAUCCUCAAAUGCCAAUGAUUCAAUAGUAGUGUAAUCUCCUGCACAACCGCAAGACACCUGCUCAAAACCAAAACAAACAAAAAUUGUUUUCGAAUUGCUUUUAACUUUGGUUUCUCGUACAAAAAAACUAAUACAAAGGUGCAUGAGUAGUAGUAACUGAAUAAAUAAUAAGUGCAAAUAGUUGACUUAAAAUAAGAAGUUGAAAGAGUUGAAUGAUUUCAUCUCACUUUUUACCAUUUGAGAUAAAUAAGUUUGAAAAUUGAUUCAACUUAUUCAACCACAAAAAUUAGAAAACUAAACCAAUUAUAAAAAACGAAUUGUUCAACCCUUUCAUCUACUAUUUUGGAGAGGAAUUGAUUAAAUGAUGUUCA
Molecule: small RNA, 1273 nt
Filed under: Arabidopsis thaliana (thale cress)
Lineage: Eukaryota; Viridiplantae; Streptophyta; Magnoliopsida; Brassicales; Brassicaceae
Description: ATSL147950
Source: RNAcentral